UUAAAUUGAAGAGUUUGAUCAUGGCUCAGAUUGAACGCUGGCGGCAGGCCUAACACAUGCAAGUCGAACGGUAACAGGAAGCAGCAUGCUGCUU
RNAcentral lists this ribosomal RNA (94 nucleotides) under Salmonella enterica subsp. enterica serovar Enteritidis. Its description in RNAcentral is "partial 16S ribosomal RNA". It matches the Rfam family "Bacterial small subunit ribosomal RNA", at positions 1 to 88 of the family's 1533-position model. Lineage: Bacteria; Pseudomonadati; Pseudomonadota; Gammaproteobacteria; Enterobacterales; Enterobacteriaceae. The record is from RNAcentral.